Molecule: small nucleolar RNA, 206 nt
Organism: Topomyia yanbarensis
Lineage: Eukaryota; Metazoa; Arthropoda; Insecta; Diptera; Culicidae
Product: small nucleolar RNA U3
Exons: 1
Source: RefSeq, a predicted model, not a curated record
AAGACUGUGCUUCACAGGAUCAUUUCUGUAGGCUAGUUUUCACCACAAGUUUUUUCCGAAAGGAAAAGAUUUCCCGCCCACGAUGAUGAGAUACAACGUUUAGCCUGGAGCGUGAAACUUGAUAGAGUUUGACUUAUCUUUUCGGAUGAAUCACUCUAUCGCUGAAGAUCGGCUCUCUUGCAAGGUUCAAACGUAUUCUGAGUGGU